UACAGAGGGUGCGAGCGUUGUCCGGAAUCACUGGGCGUAAAGGGCGCGUAGGCGGCUCAGUCAGCGUGCGGUGAAAGCCCGGGGCUCAACCCCGGGUCGGCCGUGCGAACUGCUGAGCUGGAGCACUGUAGAGGCAGGUGGAAUUCCGGGUGUAGCGGUGGAAUGCGUAGAGAUCCGGAAGAACACCGGUGGCGAAGGCGGCCUGCUGGGCAGUGACCGAGAGGUCUUAAAGCUGACGCUGAGGC
Molecule: ribosomal RNA, 245 nt
Filed under: uncultured Gemmatimonas sp.
Lineage: Bacteria; Pseudomonadati; Gemmatimonadota; Gemmatimonadia; Gemmatimonadales; Gemmatimonadaceae
Description: partial 16S ribosomal RNA
Rfam family: Bacterial small subunit ribosomal RNA
Source: RNAcentral